RNAcentral lists this ribosomal RNA (1500 nucleotides) under uncultured Bordetella sp. RNAcentral's name for it is "partial 16S-23S ribosomal RNA intergenic spacer". It matches the Rfam family "Bacterial small subunit ribosomal RNA". Lineage: Bacteria; Pseudomonadati; Pseudomonadota; Betaproteobacteria; Burkholderiales; Alcaligenaceae. The record is from RNAcentral.
GGUUUUGAUUAUGGCUCAGAUUGAACGCUGGCGGGAUGCUUUACACAUGCAAGUCGAACGGUAGCGCGGACUUCGGUCUGGUGGCGAGUGGCGAACAGGUGAGUAAUGUAUCGGAACGUGCCUAGUAGCGGGGAUAUUAACUACGCGAAAGCGUAGCUAAUACCGCAUACGCCCUUCGGGGAAAGCGGGGACCUUCGGGCCUCGCGCACUAUUAGAGCGGCCGAUAUCAGUUAGCUAGUUGGUGGGAAGUAACGGCUCACCAGGCGACGAUCCGUAGCUGGUUUGAGAGGACGACCAGCCACACUGGGACUGAGACACGGCCCAGACUCCUACGGGGAGAGCAGCAGUGGGGAAUUUUGGACAAUGGAAACCUGAUCCAGCCAUCCCGCGUGUGCGAUGAAGGCCUUCGGGUUGUAAAGCACUUUGGCGGGAGAAAAGAAACGGCACGGGAUGUACCGUGCAACUGACAGUACCUGCAGAAUAAGCACCGGCUAACUACGUGCCAGCCGCGGUAAUACGUAGGGUGCAAGCGUUAAUCGGAAUUACUGGGCGUAAAGCGUGCGUUGGUUCGGAAAGAAAAGAUGUGAAAUCCAAGAGCUUAACUUUGGAACUGCAUUUUUAACUACCGAGCUAGAGUGUGUCCAGAGGGGAGGUGGAAUUCCGCGUGUAGCAGUGAAAUGCAUGUAGAUAUGCGGAGGAACACCGAUGGCGAAGGCAGCCUCCUGGGAUAACACUGACGCUCAUGCACGAAAAGCGUGGGAGCAAACAGGAUUAGAUACCCUGGUAGUCGCCCUAAACGAUGUCAACUAGCUGUUGAAGCCUUCGGGCCUUGGUAGCGCAACUAACGUGAGACGACCGCCUGAAGUACGGUCGCAAGAUUAAAACUCAAGAAUUGACGAGGACCCGCACAAGCGGUGGAUGAUGGAUUAAUUCGAUGCAGCACGAAAAACCCAACUACCUACCCUUGACGUAAUACGGAAUCCCGAAGAGAUUUGGGAGUGCUCGCAAGAGAACCGGAACACAGGUGCUGCAUGGCUGCGUCGUCAGCUCGUAUCGUGAAGAUAUUGUGGUUAGUCCUGGCGAGCGCAACCCUGCUCAUUCGUUGCUACGAAAGGGCACUCUAAUGAGACUGCCGAGUGACAAACCGGAGGAAGGUGAGGAUGACGUCAAGUCCUCAUGGCCCUUAUGGGUAGGGCUUCACACGUCAUACAAUGGUCAGGACAGAGGGUCGCCAACCCGCGAGGGGAGCCAAUCCCAGAGAAACCCGAUCGUAGUCCGGAUCGCAGUCUGCAACUCGACUGCAUGAAGUCGGAAUCGCUAGUAAUCGCGGAUCAGCAUGUCAUGAACGAAUACGUUCCGAGGUCUUGUACACACCGCCCGUCACGCCUUGGAGUGGGUUUUUGCAGAAGUGCGUUAAGCCUAACCAUGCAGGAGGGCGAUUACCACGGUAAGUUCAUGACUGGGGUGAAGUCGUAACAAGGUAGCUCUAUUUACUACGAG